RNAcentral lists this ribosomal RNA (253 nucleotides) under uncultured bacterium. RNAcentral's name for it is "partial 16S ribosomal RNA". It matches the Rfam family "Bacterial small subunit ribosomal RNA", at positions 524 to 776 of the family's 1533-position model. The record is from RNAcentral.
UACGUAGGUCCCGAGCGUUGUCCGGAUUUACUGGGUGUAAAGGGAGCGUAGGCGGCGCGUUAAGUCUGAUGUGAAAACCCGAGGCCCAACCACGGGAGUGCAUUGGAAACUGGCGGGCUGGAGUGCCGGAGAGGUAAGCGGAAUUCCUAGUGUAGCGGUGAAAUGCGUAGAUAUUAGGAGGAACACCAGUGGCGAAGGCGGCUUACUGGACGGCAACUGACGCUGAGGCUCGAAAGCGUGGGGAGCAAACAGG